CCUACGGGUGGCAGCAGUGAGGCAUAUUGGUCAAUGGCCGGAAGGCUGAACCAGCCAUGCCGCGUGAAGGUCAGUGCCCUAUGGGCGUUAAACUUCUUUUGUGCGGGAGCAAUAAUGGUCACGUGUGGCCAGACGAGAGUACCGUACGAAUAAGCAUCGGCUAACUCCGUGCCAGCAGCCGCGGUAAUACGGGGGAUGCAAGCGUUAUCCGGAUUUAUUGGGUUUAAAGGGUGCGUAGGCUGUAAGGUAAGUCAGCGGUGAAAUGCCCCCGCUCAACGGGGUGAAGUGCCAUUGAUACUGCCUGGCUGGAAUGCGGAUGCCGUGGGAGGAAUGUGUGGUGUAGCGGUGAAAUGCAUAGAUAUCACACAGAACACCGAUUGCGAAGGCAUCUCACGAAUCCGCGAUUGACGCUGAUGCACGAAAGCGUGGGUAUCAAACAGGAUUAGAUACCCUAGUAGUC
RNAcentral lists this ribosomal RNA (460 nucleotides) under uncultured bacterium. Its description in RNAcentral is "partial 16S ribosomal RNA". It matches the Rfam family "Bacterial small subunit ribosomal RNA", at positions 338 to 795 of the family's 1533-position model. The record is from RNAcentral.